RNAcentral lists this ribosomal RNA (553 nucleotides) under uncultured fungus. RNAcentral describes it as "eukaryotic LSU rRNA". The stretch from base 187 to 340 matches the Rfam family "5.8S ribosomal RNA". Lineage: Eukaryota; Fungi. The record is from RNAcentral.
AAGUCGAAACAAGGUCUCCCGUUGGUGAACCAGCGGAGGGAUCAUUACUGAGUACUACACUCUCUACCCUUUGUGAACUAUUAUACCUGUUGCUUCGGCGGCGCCGCAAGGGUGCCCGCCGGUCUCAUCAGAAUCUCUGUUUUCGAACCCGACGAUACUUCUGAGUGUUCUUAGCGAACUGUCAAAACUUUUUAACAAACGGAUCUCUUGGCUCCAGCAUCGAUGAAGAACGCAGCGAAACGCGAUAUGUAAUGUGAAUUGCAGAAUUCAGCGAAUCAUCGAAUCUUUGAACGCACAUGGCGCCUUCCAGUAUCCUGGGAGGCAGCCUGUCCGAGCGUCGUUUCAACCCUCGAGCCCCUGUUGGCCCGGCGUUGGGGAUCUGCCACGGCAGGCCCCUAAAACCAGUGGCGGACCCGAAGGGCCCUCUCCUUUGCGCAGUAGCAUUCGCCUCGCAUCGGGAGUCCUCGGCGUCCUGCCUCUAAACCCCCCACAAGCCCGCUUCGGCGGCACCAAGGUUGACCUCGGAUCAGGUAGGAAUACCCGCUGAACUUAA